Molecule: long non-coding RNA, 762 nt
Organism: Solanum stenotomum
Lineage: Eukaryota; Viridiplantae; Streptophyta; Magnoliopsida; Solanales; Solanaceae
Exons: 2
Source: RefSeq, a predicted model, not a curated record
CAAGGUUAUCCUAAAUGUCCAGCAAAGUAUCACAUCAAUAGGAAGAAGCAUAGACAGCAUAGCAACUAAGGUAUCUCACUUAUUUCCAACAUCACACUGAAAAAGUACCAUAUAAAAAUCUUCCCAAACAAUUUUCUUACACGUGAAGCGAACAAAAUGCCUACAACAUCAAGAACUACUACGCCUCACUCCCCUUACCGAAAAGACGUAACUUUGAUUGGACAAAAAUGAGAAGAAAAAGAAGAAGCAACAACAACAUAACAACAUACCCAAUGUAAUCCCACAAAGUAAGGUCUUGGUAGGAUAGAGUGUACGCAAACAUUACCCCUACCUUGGAGGUAGAGAGGCUUUUUCCAAUAGACCCUCAAACCAAGAAUUCAAACCAAUUUUAUGACACAAAGGUCCAAUCUUUAUAAGCUCAUAACAACUCCCAUAAACAAGAAAACCACAAAUAUCAUCAGCACCCCACAAACACAAUAAAACACCAAAAUCUAAGGUAAAAAAGAGCAAAAUCAACCAAGAUAAGAUUUUGUACCUAAAAGCCUGAUUAACUCAUCCCAUUCUCUACAAAAGCAACCAAUAAUUGGGUCUUCCUGAUAGGCUUCAUCAACCAAAAAAAAAAAAACAAAGACAAAAACCAAGAACAGAAAAUUAAAGGGUCUUAACAAAAGGGUAAGAGUGGGUGGUUGAGAUGAACCAAAUAUCCUUAAAAGCUUUCUCCUUGAUUUUCGUGUCCACCAAAACAGGCACUUGUUUUUUCAA